Mustela erminea (ermine) is the source of this 143-nucleotide long non-coding RNA. RefSeq lists it as uncharacterized. The transcript has 3 exons. The record is from RefSeq and is a predicted model, not a curated record. Lineage: Eukaryota; Metazoa; Chordata; Mammalia; Carnivora; Mustelidae.
AAAUGUAUUUGAACCUAGAUAACCUUAGGGCACCUGAGUGGAUCAGUGAGUUAAGGCUCUGCCUGUGACUCGGAUCAUGAUCUCAGGGUCCUGGGAUUGAGCCCCCAUCGGGCUCUCUGCUCAUUGGGGAUCCUGCUUCCUCC